This 380-nucleotide RNase P RNA is filed under the name Palleronia aestuarii. Its description in RNAcentral is "Maribius sp. Y26 Bacterial RNase P class A". It matches the Rfam family "Bacterial RNase P class A". From Rfam's summary of the family: Ribonuclease P (RNase P) is a ubiquitous endoribonuclease, found in archaea, bacteria and eukarya as well as chloroplasts and mitochondria. Its best characterised activity is the generation of mature 5'-ends of tRNAs by cleaving the 5'-leader elements of precursor-tRNAs. Cellular RNase Ps are ribonucleoproteins. The record is from Rfam by way of RNAcentral. Lineage: Bacteria; Pseudomonadati; Pseudomonadota; Alphaproteobacteria; Rhodobacterales; Roseobacteraceae.
GCGGAUGGCCGGAUGACCGCGGCGCCCUUUCGGGGCUGUCGAGGAAAGUCCGGGCUCCGGAAAGCAACGGUGCCGGGUAACGCCCGGGCGGGGCAACCCGACGGAAAGCGCCACAGAAAACAGACCACCCCGGACGUGUCCGGGGCCAGGGUGAAACGGUGGGGUAAGAGCCCACCGGGGGGCCGGCAACGGCGCCCGCAUGGCAAGCCCCACCGGGAGCAAUGCCGAAUAGGGAUCCUGCGGGCCGCAAGGCCCAGGGCCGCUUUCGCCCAAGGGUCCGGGUAGGCAGCACGAGCGCAUCGGCGACGAUGCGCCCAGAUGAAUGGUCAUCACCCGCCGCAAGGUGGGGACAGAACCCGGCUUACAGGCCAUCCGCGCGC